Molecule: small nuclear RNA, 103 nt
Filed under: Salvator merianae (Argentine black and white tegu)
Lineage: Eukaryota; Metazoa; Chordata; Lepidosauria; Squamata; Teiidae
Source: RNAcentral
UCUUGUGGCUUUCAAGCAGGGAACCUAUGAAAUGAUACAGAGAAGAUUAGCAUGGCCCCAGCGCAAGGAUGACAUGCAAAUUGAUGAAGUGUUUCAUUUUUUA